RNAcentral lists this unclassified non-coding RNA (802 nucleotides) under Zea mays. RNAcentral describes it as "misc RNA Zm00001eb254010". The record is from RNAcentral. Lineage: Eukaryota; Viridiplantae; Streptophyta; Magnoliopsida; Poales; Poaceae.
GUGCUCCUGUAAGGAAAAAAGUGAAUAAAAGUGACAUAAGAUUAUUCUUACCCAAGGUGCAGGAAAGACUCGAGCUUCAACAAGGGUCAGAUUAAGACUGGAGCACACCCUGCCGAUCAGAGCGUCUUGCCAAAUACAACCAGAUUUUCUGAUGUGAAAACAAAGAACCAACAGAAACGAAUCUAAUGGGCCAUAAUGCUGGUCGCACACCAUUCAUAGACAUCUCGAACACAAGCAUUACAGGUGAUCAAAAUGGAUCGAACUCGCUUAGACCAAUAGUCGAUGCUAAUGAACGUAAGAGGCAAAGGGAUAAGGAAAGAUAUGCCACGAUGUCCAUUGAACAAAAGAAUGAGAAAAAUAGGAAGCGACGUGAAGCACGUCAACGAAAUAAAGGACUACCCAUAAAGUCCGAGUCAUCUAGAGAAGACAUUAAUACGAAUCAGACACGUGAGGCGGUCAACGUUGAAAUAAGUCGAGAUGUGCAUCUUGGUUCAGGUCCUAUUAAAAACACUCCAUCGACUGGUAAUUCUAUCGAACGAAAGAGGCAAAGGGAUAGAGAAAGGCGUGCAACAAUGUCGGCUGAACAAAGGAAUGAGUACAAUAACAAGCGUCGUCAAAUGCGUCAACGAAAUAAGGGACAAAAUGUGAUGCCAGCUAUUUCAGGAGAUGGCGACAAAAAAGUAAAUGUGGAUCCAGAUGAUGAUAGCGACUGGCUGCAUCGGAACGAGACAUUCCAGUCAAAUGACUAUGUCGCAACGACAGACCUUCUGCCACCAGAGUAUUCAGCUACUAUGGUGGUGUA